RNAcentral lists this ribosomal RNA (253 nucleotides) under uncultured bacterium. Its description in RNAcentral is "partial 16S ribosomal RNA". It matches the Rfam family "Bacterial small subunit ribosomal RNA", at positions 524 to 776 of the family's 1533-position model. The record is from RNAcentral.
UACGGAGGAUGCAAGCGUUAUCCGGAAUGAUUGGGCGUAAAGCGUCCGCAGGUGGCUGUGUAAGUCUGCUGUUAAAGAGUGAGGCUCAACCUCAUAAAGGCAGUGGAAACUACAUGGCUAGAGUGCGUUCGGGGCAGAGGGAAUUCCUGGUGUAGCGGUGAAAUGCGUAGAGAUCAGGAAGAACACCGGUGGCGAAAGCGCUCUACUGGGCCAUAACUGACACUCGGGGACGAAAGCUAGGGGAGCGAAUGGG